RNAcentral lists this ribosomal RNA (497 nucleotides) under uncultured bacterium. Its description in RNAcentral is "partial 16S ribosomal RNA". It matches the Rfam family "Bacterial small subunit ribosomal RNA", at positions 28 to 507 of the family's 1533-position model. The record is from RNAcentral.
GAUGAACGCUGGCGGCGUGCCUAAUACAUGCAAGUCGAGCGAACGGACGAGAAGCUUGCUUCUCUGAUGUUAGCGGCGGACGGGUGAGUAACACGUGGAUAACCUACCUAUAAGACUGGGAUAACUUCGGGAAACCGUAGCUAAUACCGGAUAAUAUUUUGAACCGCAUAGUUCAAAAGUGAACGACGGUCUUGCUGUCACUUUUAGGUGGAUCCGCGCUGCCUUAGCUAGUUGGUAAGGGAACGGCUUACCAAGGCAACGAUGCAUAGCCGACCUGAGAGGGUGAUCGGCCACACUGGAACUGAGACACGGUCCAGACUCCUACAGGAGGCAGCAGUAGGGAAUCUUCCGCAAUGGGCGAAAGCCUGACGGAGCACCGCCGCGUGAGUGAUGAAGGUCUUCGGAUCGUAAAACUCUGUUAUUAGGGAAGAACAUAUGUGUAAGUAACUGUGCACAUCUUGACGGUACCUAAUCAGAAAGCCACGGCUAACUACGUG